AUAAAAUUUCUCCCUUACACCGUCCCGCCACCUUUGGACGAACCGAAAUAAAUCGAACGACGCCGAGUCGAUCAGCAGUACGGUAUUCGUUGGACGCGACCGUUUUUUGCGUUUAGUGAUGAUCAGGACGAGUCGUUGUUGUUGUCGUCGACGUUGUUGUUCGUGGCACUGCGCGAAAACGAAGUAGCAGGUCUAUAGACAGGGACCACGCACAGUUCCGAAAUAAAUAAUCGUUUGUUCGUGAGAUAAAAGAAAAUAAGAAGAUAGAAAAACAAACAGAAGAUAAACAAGACUAAAGGAAAGUAAGGGAUAAAAGUAAAGAAGGAAGGAAGGAAGGAAGGAAGAAAAAAAAAAAGGAAGAGGAAGAACGAGGAACGAGGACACGCGCGUCGUCGUUUGCUGCCGCGGCCACGGAUGCAUAUGGAGGUGUCCCCGAACCGGCGCUGUCUGAACCAGCUCAACAGCUGAUCGGAGUACGAAGCGGCGGUGAACGGGGCCACUAUUGCACCACCACCCCGCAUAUUUGCAAGAUAAUCGUUAAGGAAUAAUAACGAGAUCUUUUUAAAGGCUCACGUUCGAAAGAGAACUGUGUUGGUUGAAGAAGGAA
Long non-coding RNA from Polistes dominula (European paper wasp), 607 nucleotides. The record is from RefSeq and is a predicted model, not a curated record. NCBI's taxonomy places the organism in Eukaryota, Metazoa, Arthropoda, Insecta, Hymenoptera, Vespidae.